UACGGAGGGUGCAAGCGUUAAUCGGAAUUACUGGGCGUAAAGCGCGCGUAGGCGGUUUUUUAAGUCGGAUGUGAAAGCCCCGGGCUCAACCUGGGAACUGCAUCCGAUACUGGAAGACUAGAAUGCGGGAGAGGGAGGUAGAACUCCAUGUGUAGCAGUGAAAUGCGUAGAUAUAUGGAGGAAUACCAGUGGCGAAGGCGGCCUCCUGGCUCGACAUUGACGCUGAGGUGCGAAAGCGUGGGGAGCAAACGGG
RNAcentral lists this ribosomal RNA (253 nucleotides) under uncultured bacterium. Its description in RNAcentral is "partial 16S ribosomal RNA". It matches the Rfam family "Bacterial small subunit ribosomal RNA", at positions 524 to 776 of the family's 1533-position model. The record is from RNAcentral.